Saccostrea cuccullata (small rock oyster) is the source of this 279-nucleotide long non-coding RNA. RefSeq lists it as uncharacterized. The record is from RefSeq and is a predicted model, not a curated record. NCBI's taxonomy places the organism in Eukaryota, Metazoa, Mollusca, Bivalvia, Ostreida, Ostreidae. The transcript is spliced from 3 exons.
AAUGUUUCUUUAAAGUAAUAAUUUUUAUUCCUUUGUUUGAAUCGUCCUUUGUUCAUUAUAAGACACGCCAUUGCGAUCAAAAGCACUGUUAAUACCAAGAAGCAUUUGAAAUUCAAAUUAAUCAAAGUUUAUCUCCAUAGAAGUUAUAUCAAGGUUAAUAACAGAUAUGUGACGGAUCCAGAUCCAUGGAUUUUUGAUUACUCCCUUACUUAGGGCCAUCAGCAUUUAAAUUUCUGUAAUGAAAUAAAGAGUGAAACAUCCAAAAUACGGCGUGUUACA